RNAcentral lists this ribosomal RNA (406 nucleotides) under uncultured bacterium. RNAcentral's name for it is "partial 16S ribosomal RNA". It matches the Rfam family "Bacterial small subunit ribosomal RNA", at positions 29 to 526 of the family's 1533-position model. The record is from RNAcentral.
AUUGAACGCUGGCGGCAGGCCUAACACAUGCAAGUCGAACGAGUGGCGGACGGGUGAGUAAUGUCUGGGAAACUGCCUGAUGGAGGGGGAUAACUACUGGAAACGGUAGCUAAUACCGCAUACCAUCGGAUGUGCCCAGAUGGGAUUAGCUAGUAGGUGGGGUAAAGGCUCACCUAGGCGACGCUCCCUAGCUGGUCUGAGAGGAUGCCCAGCCACACUGGAACUGGUAGACGGGCCAGACUCCCAAGGGAGGCAGCAGUGGGGAAUAUUGCACAAUGGGCGCAAGCCGGAUGCAGCCAGGGCGCGUGUAUGAAGAAGGCCUUCGGGUUGUAAAGUACGUUAAGCGGGGAGGCGUUACCCGCAGAAGAAGCACCGGCUAACUCCGUGCCAGCAGCCGCGGUAAUUC